GCAUAGAGAAAAGGAGACCGAUCGCUACGUACUAAAGCAUAGCCCGCCUGUCCCUAAAAACUUGUUUCAGCCACCAGUCUGCGCUGCUGACGGUAAGUUGCCUCUGUGAAGUUAGCUGUUUAUGUCAUGUGCUUAUGAGUACAAGUAAAUGAAGUUAGUUGAAUAAUGUAUUUUGUAAACAAUGUUUACAAAUUUUCUUUGCGGCAUUUGUGAGAAAAUAAUCGUGCUCCGUAAUUUUUUAAUUUUUGACCAAAAGAAACAUUACAAAAUGGUGAAACAUUGUAUUGUGCGUGGAUGUAAAAGAGAUUUAGCAUCUGAUCGCUAAAAUAGAAUGAAUUACUGAAAAACAAUUUGCGUCAAUCAUCUUUAUUCAAAGUACCAAACUACCAAAGAAUAACGUAUUGAGGGAAAAUGGGUAAAAGCUUUAUCACAACAAUUGACUCCAAAUCAGUUUUGUGUGAGAAGCACUUUCGCGAAGAAGAUAUUAAGAAAAUUGAUCGAUUGAUUAUUAAUGGAGCUGAAAUUAUCAUCCCUCGCGAAAGGUGGACUCUUUUGAAUGACAAUGUCAUUCCAAUAAACCCUCACGAUUUGGAAAAGGACAUUUCUGAAGAGCAAGUUCCAAUAGUGCAAAAUGACAUUAAUAACUGACCAAUCGAAAAACCUGGAUUAUACACAACCCUUGUUAAAAAUCGUUCAAGGUAACAAUUUAAAAGAAGAUUCUCAACCAGCAGGACCCCAUCAUAUGGAAUCACCAGAGAUUGUAACAGCUAAUAAUGUCAUUAUCUCGAACAUGUGUGAAUACCUGUAAAUGGCUUAGUCGAAAUGUACAUUUUGUACUCAUUUAAUGUCUUAUGUGCUGUUGGUGUUCCAAAUAAAA
Molecule: long non-coding RNA, 877 nt
Organism: Melitaea cinxia (Glanville fritillary)
Lineage: Eukaryota; Metazoa; Arthropoda; Insecta; Lepidoptera; Nymphalidae
Exons: 4
Source: RefSeq, a predicted model, not a curated record